Molecule: transfer RNA, 77 nt
Filed under: Mycobacteroides abscessus
Lineage: Bacteria; Bacillati; Actinomycetota; Actinomycetes; Mycobacteriales; Mycobacteriaceae
Also listed under: 8 other names
Description: tRNA-Met
Rfam family: tRNA
About the family: Transfer RNA (tRNA) molecules are approximately 80 nucleotides in length.
Source: RNAcentral
UGCUGUGUAGCUCAGUUGGCAAGAGCCCCGAACUCAUAAUUCGGUAGUCGCGGGUUCGAGUCCCGCCACAGCUACGA